This 73-nucleotide transfer RNA is filed under the name Ipomoea nil (Japanese morning glory). It matches the Rfam family "tRNA". From Rfam's summary of the family: Transfer RNA (tRNA) molecules are approximately 80 nucleotides in length. Their secondary structure includes four short double-helical elements and three loops (D, anti-codon, and T loops). Lineage: Eukaryota; Viridiplantae; Streptophyta; Magnoliopsida; Solanales; Convolvulaceae. The record is from Rfam by way of RNAcentral.
GGGGGUGUAGCUCAUAUGGUAGAGCGCUCGCUUCGCAUGCGAGAGGUACGGGGUUUAAUUCCAUGCACCUCCA